GACGAACGCUGGCGGCGUGCUUAACACAUGCAAGUCGAACGGAAAGGCCCCGCUUUUGUGGGGUGCUCGAGUGGCGAACGGGUGAGUAACACGUGAGUAACCUGCCCUUGACUUUGGGAUAACUUCAGGAAACUGGGGCUAAUACCGGAUAGGAGCUCCUGCUGCAUGGUGGGGGUUGGAAAGUUUCGGCGGUUGGGGAUGGACUCGCGGCUUAUCAGCUUGUUGGUGGGGUAGUGGCUUACCAAGGCUUUGACGGGUAGCCGGCCUGAGAGGGUGACCGGCCACAUUGGGACUGAGAUACGGCCCAGACUCCUACGGGAGGCAGCAGUGGGGAAUAUUGCACAAUGGGCGGAAGCCUGAUGCAGCAACGCCGCGUGCGGGAUGAUGGCCUUCGGGUUGUAAACCGCUUUCGCCUGUGACGAAGCGUGAGUGACGGUAAUGGGUAAAGAAGCACCGGCUAACUACGUG
RNAcentral lists this ribosomal RNA (468 nucleotides) under uncultured bacterium. RNAcentral's name for it is "partial 16S ribosomal RNA". It matches the Rfam family "Bacterial small subunit ribosomal RNA", at positions 28 to 507 of the family's 1533-position model. The record is from RNAcentral.